This 472-nucleotide ribosomal RNA is filed under the name uncultured bacterium. Its description in RNAcentral is "bacterial SSU rRNA". It matches the Rfam family "Bacterial small subunit ribosomal RNA", at positions 26 to 507 of the family's 1533-position model. The record is from RNAcentral.
AGGACGAACGCUGGCGGCGUGCCUAACACAUGCAAGUCGAACGAGGUCCAUGCAGUGGCAACACUGCGGAAGACCUAGUGGCGAACGGGUGAGUAACACGUGAGGAACCCUGCCCCGAAGACCGGGAUAACCCUCCGAAAGGAGAGCUAAUACCGGAUACCCCCACCUGGUCGCAUGGCCGGGUGAGGAAAUGGAUUCCGCUUCGGGAGGGCCUCGCGGCCUAUCAGCUAGUUGGUGAGGUAACGGCUCACCAAGGCAUCGACGGGUAGCUGGUCUGGGAGGACGAUCAGCCACACUGGGACUGAGACACGACCCAGACUCCUACGGGAGGCAGCAGUGGGGAAUCUUAGACAAUGGGCGCAAGCCUGAUCUAGCCAUGCCGCGUGAGCGAUGAAGGCCUUAGGGUUGUAAAGCUCUUUCGUGGGGGAAGAUAAUGACUGUACCCCAAGAAGAAGCCCCGGCUAACUCCGUG